Molecule: long non-coding RNA, 420 nt
Filed under: Coffea arabica (coffee)
Lineage: Eukaryota; Viridiplantae; Streptophyta; Magnoliopsida; Gentianales; Rubiaceae
Description: long non-coding RNA (CARA_LNC007791)
Source: RNAcentral
UUAAAGAAUAUAUAGGUAAAAAAAAAAGAUUUGCCUAAACUGGAAUCAACAACCAUAGCUAUGACAAACAUACCCUUGAUCAAUUGCAAAACAGAAGAUGUAUUUAGCAAAUACAUUGAAAAGCAAAAGGAAAAGGAUAAGGAAAAAGCUAAAGCAUUAAAAGAAUUGCUAUCCUUCCUAAACUUAUGUUUACCAUCUAAAAAUCUACGAUGCCCAAGUAGCAAUGUUUGAGACCAUGGCUUAGCUGCCGUGCAUGAGUAACUUGUGACAAACAGGGCAUGCUUAUUCACCUUUAGUACUCUACCUUGACAACAUUGCAUAUCCUAGAAAAUUACUAUUUGUCCGCCUCAAUGCCGCAUACAAUUGAAAAUUCUAUUUUUUGAUGCAUCAUAAGUUUGAAGACCUACAUCCCACAACUCA